RNAcentral lists this ribosomal RNA (780 nucleotides) under Typhula ishikariensis. RNAcentral's name for it is "eukaryotic LSU rRNA". The stretch from base 329 to 482 matches the Rfam family "5.8S ribosomal RNA". Lineage: Eukaryota; Fungi; Basidiomycota; Agaricomycetes; Agaricales; Typhulaceae. The record is from RNAcentral.
UCCGUAGGUGGACCUGCGGAAGGAUCAUUAUCGAAUUUAAAGCUUGGUUGAGCUGUCGCUUCGGCGUACGUGCUCGCCUCGCCGUCCAUUCUUCAACACCUGUGCACACUUCAAAGUAAUCGUUCCUUGUCCCAUCCCACUUGUACGGGGGAGUUGUAAAAGAAAGGAUCAUUAAUUUGGUUCUCUCCUUAUAGCUCUCCAAAGAGAGGGUAAGAUGUUACAAGAACGAUCUUUGCCUUAUAACAUACCCUUCUUUUAAAAAUGUUUAUGAACGUCAAACAAUGUAGGCUCGCCUUAAAAACGUGUAGCUGAAAUUAUAAAAUUAUACAACUUUUAACAACGGAUCUCUUGGCUCUCGCAUCGAUGAAGAACGCAGCGAAAUGCGAUAAGUAAUGUGAAUUGCAGAAUUCAGUGAAUCAUCGAAUCUUUGAACGCACCUUGCGCUCCCUGGUAUUCCGGGGAGCAUGCCUGUUUGAGUGUCAUUAAAUUCUCAACCUCGAACCGUUUGUUUACAGACUUUACGAGGCUUGGACUUUGGAGUGUGCCGGUCUCUAACGGGAUCGACUCCUCUUUAAAUGCAUUAGCUGGAACCUCCUGUGGACCAGACUACGGUGUGAUAAUUAUCUACGCUGUUGGUCUUGUGAAGCACUUUAUUGUUACGAGGUUCUGCUUCUAAUCGUCCUUUACUGCGACAAUGAGGGUGUUCUUUUGAAUGCCUUUGACAUUUUGACCUCAAAUCAGGUAGGACUACCCGCUGAACUUAAGCAUAUCAAUAAGCGG